RNAcentral lists this transfer RNA (72 nucleotides) under Caudoviricetes sp. RNAcentral describes it as "tRNA-Arg". It matches the Rfam family "tRNA". Rfam says of the family: Transfer RNA (tRNA) molecules are approximately 80 nucleotides in length. Their secondary structure includes four short double-helical elements and three loops (D, anti-codon, and T loops). RNAcentral also lists the same sequence under 2 other names. The record is from RNAcentral. Lineage: Duplodnaviria; Heunggongvirae; Uroviricota; Caudoviricetes.
GACUCCUUAGUUCAAUGGAAAGAACAGUGGCCUUCUAAGCCUCUAAUCCCAGUUCGAAUCUGGGAGGAGCCA